GGAGGGGCGACCGACCGCGGGGAGGAGGAAGCGUGGAUCAAACCAAGCGGGGCCGACGGACAAGAGCCGGAUAUAUGAGGAGGUGCCGACCAGGGUGAGCGGCAAUGGAUCGCGAACCACUUGUGGCCAAGCGGCGGUGGCGAAAAUCCAGCACUCGUGCAGGGAAGGAGUGCUUU
Non-coding RNA from Rhizobium mesoamericanum STM3625, 176 nucleotides. The record is from Rfam. NCBI's taxonomy places the organism in Bacteria, Pseudomonadati, Pseudomonadota, Alphaproteobacteria, Hyphomicrobiales, Rhizobiaceae.